AAAACGACCUAAUACCUCUCCAGCUAUUUAAAAAAAAAUAAAAAUGAGGAAGGCCUGUCUUCUUGCUUGUGCUCUUUUGAUCUCCUUCGCUCUUCUCUUCCUCCCUUCCACCGAAGCUCGAGCACUCCUUCAGAAAGGUCCAGUCCUCCCAGCAGGACCGGGGCCGGCAAGGUGCGGACAAAGAGG
Molecule: long non-coding RNA, 186 nt
Organism: Rhodamnia argentea
Lineage: Eukaryota; Viridiplantae; Streptophyta; Magnoliopsida; Myrtales; Myrtaceae
Exons: 5
Source: RefSeq, a predicted model, not a curated record